CAGCCGCCGCGGUAAAACGUAGGUGGCAAGCGUUGUCCGGAAUUAUUGGGCGUAAAGGGCUCGCAGGCGGUUUCUUAAGUCUGAUGUGAAAGCCCCCGGCUCAACCGGGGAGGGUCAUUGGAAACUGGGAAACUUGAGUGCAGAAGAGGAGAGUGGAAUUCCACGUGUAGCGGUGAAAUGCGUAGAGAUGUGGAGGAACACCAGUGGCGAAGGCGACUCUCUGGUCUGUAACUGACGCUGAGGAGCGAAAGCGUGGGGAGCGAACAGGAUUAGAUACCCCGGUAGUCCCUGUCUCUUAUAC
Molecule: ribosomal RNA, 301 nt
Filed under: uncultured bacterium
Lineage: Bacteria
Description: partial 16S ribosomal RNA
Rfam family: Bacterial small subunit ribosomal RNA
Source: RNAcentral